GCCAGCGGGGUGGCCGUUUGAGUCCUCCAGCGGGGACCUUGAGGGCUGGGGUGCGGCUUCUCCCCCAACACAUUCUGCGCUGGGCGUGCGGUGGCUCUCCGUCCUCCCUCCCUCCGUUCCCAAGCCGGGGCGCCUGCUGGGCUGCGCGCUCCCUCGGAGGCCCCCUUGGGAACGCUUUUCCCCGGCAGAAGCCGGCCGGCGUCUCAUUUCGCCUCCCCCAGCGCAUCAAGGCUAAAGCCGGGCCGCCCUCGCGCGCCUGUGGGUGGCCCGUGGUGAGGGGCAGCUCGUCCAUCAGAGCUGUUUGCAAUGGUCGCGCUGGAGAAUUCGUAGUUAGCUCUGGUUUUUCACUCUUAGUCAUUACCUCAGCGAAGAAACUUCCAAACUCAGUGCAGGAGUGAGGUGACGUGUGGGAUCCAGUAUUGCUUUUGGUGGUAUACUUUGAACAUAACUCAGCUACCCUAAAUGAACUAAAGACUGGCAUAUUUUUAGGGGAACAUUAAGAAAUUGCUUUGUAUGUUUAAGGGGUAGAACAAGGUGAUGAGGAGCUUGUAAUAUGGGGACUAGUUAAAGAAACUAGCCUGGAGAUAGGGUACGUACUCCCCCAUUUAUUACAAGGCGGAAAUGGCUCUAUUUCUUCAUCUGUUAUCACUUGCCAGUAUCCUAUAGGCAUUUGAAUUUGCCAUCCAUGAUACGGUCCUUAGAGACUCUGGAGGGAUUUAUUCAACAAAUAUUAGCACCUACUGCAUGCAGAUCACUGGAGAUACAGCAGGACAGAGAGGACAAGGUCUCCACGCAUAUGGGAGGAAUGAGGAGUAGCCACUGUGUUCUUGAGACUGUUGUAAAUAUUAGAUAUUUUAUAAAGAGUGUUGAUAGGGAAUGUUAGAUGAAAAAACCAACACUCCACUCAAGAAAGUGAAAAGACAACCUCCGGAAGGAACCAAGAUUCAACUCCCUGUUCAGUUCAGGCUGGUUAAGAUGACCUAUUCACCAGCUGGGCCUGUGCAGAUGACCACUCGGUGAUCCUUUGACAUCAAACAGCCAAAAACUCCACCCUCAGAUCCUGGUGACAUUGCCAUUUUGUGAACAGGUGCCCUGCGAAGAGCCGUGAAGCUUGACUACGCUCGCAAAGAUCAUCAAUUACCUCACUUCUCCUUACCUCCAAUCAUGUAUUCCCACACUUCAGACGGCCCUGCCCUUUAUCUCGUAAAUCUCCCUAAUCCUCAAUUUUGGGGGAGGUGGAUUUGAGAUUGCUUCUCUUGUCUCCUUGCUUGGAUGCCUUGUGAUUAAAUCCUUUCUCAUUGCAAAUUCA
This 1309-nucleotide long non-coding RNA is filed under the name Equus asinus (donkey). RNAcentral's name for it is "lncRNA (ENSEASG00005037125.1)". Lineage: Eukaryota; Metazoa; Chordata; Mammalia; Perissodactyla; Equidae. The record is from RNAcentral.